This 256-nucleotide ribosomal RNA is filed under the name uncultured bacterium. Its description in RNAcentral is "partial small subunit ribosomal RNA". It matches the Rfam family "Bacterial small subunit ribosomal RNA", at positions 26 to 286 of the family's 1533-position model. The record is from RNAcentral.
AGGACGAACGCUGGCGGCGUGCUUAACACAUGCAAGUCGAGCGGAAAGGCCCUUCGGGGUACUCGAGCGGCGAACGGGUGAGUAACACGUGAGUAACCUGCCCCUAGCUCUGGGAUAGCUCCGGGAAACCGGGAUUAAUACCAGAUACGACCACUUUAGACAUCUUUUGUGGUGGAAAGGAUUCCGGCUAGGGAUGGGCUCGCGGCCUAUCAGCUUGGUUGGUGGGGUAACGGCCUACCAAGGCGACGACGGGUAG